This 516-nucleotide ribosomal RNA is filed under the name uncultured Amphinema. RNAcentral describes it as "eukaryotic LSU rRNA". The stretch from base 126 to 280 matches the Rfam family "5.8S ribosomal RNA". The record is from RNAcentral. Lineage: Eukaryota; Fungi; Basidiomycota; Agaricomycetes; Atheliales; Atheliaceae.
GUGCACGCCUGAGCUCUUAAAUCCACAACACACCUGUGAACCCACCGUAGGCCUUCGGGCUUAUGUAUCAUAUACUCUGAAUGUGUCAUAGAAUGUUCAUGUUGCCUUAAAACGCAAUCAAAUACAACUUUCAACAACGGAUCUCUUGGCUCUCGCAUCGAUGAAGAACGCAGCGAAAUGCGAUAAGUAAUGUGAAUUGCAGAUUUUCAGUGAAUCAUCGAAUCUUUGAACGCACCUUGCGCUCCUUGGUAUUCCGAGGAGCAUGCCUGUUUGAGUGUCAUUAAAUUCUCAACCCCACCGAUUUGUUUUGGGGGGAUUGGACUUGGAGUGUGCUGGCGAAGGUCGGCUCCUCUUUAAAUGCAUCAGUGGAGAGAAACUUGCCCCAGUGUGAUAAUCCUGUUGUGCUGUGGUGGGUGAAAGUCUGCUUUCAACUGUCCUCCGGGACGAUACACCAUCUUAUUUUGACCUCAAAUCAGGUAGGACUACCCGCUGAACUUAAGCAUAUCAAUAAGCGGA